This 372-nucleotide ribosomal RNA is filed under the name uncultured bacterium. RNAcentral describes it as "bacterial SSU rRNA". It matches the Rfam family "Bacterial small subunit ribosomal RNA", at positions 9 to 378 of the family's 1533-position model. The record is from RNAcentral.
GAGUUUGAUCCUGGCUCAGAUUGAACGCUGGCGGUAUGCAUAACACAUGCAAGUCGAACGGUAGCAGGCUCGGGAAACCGAGUGCUGACGAGUGGCGGACGGGUGAGUAAUGCGUAGGGAUUUGCCUAGUAGAGGGGGAUAACCUGGGGAAACUCAGGCUAAUACCGCAUAUGCCUAAGGGUGAAAGAGGGGGACCGUAAAAGGCCUCUUGCUACUGGAUGAACCUGCGUAGGAUUAGCUAGUUGGUAGGGUAAAGGCCUACCAAGGCGAAGAUCCUUAACUGGUCUGAGAGGACGACCAGUCACACUGGGACUGAGACACGGCCCAGACUCCUACGGGAGGCAGCAGUGGGGAAUAUUGGACAAUGGGCGC